Small nucleolar RNA from Pistacia vera, 135 nucleotides. RefSeq annotates it as small nucleolar RNA snoR100. The transcript has a single exon. The record is from RefSeq and is a predicted model, not a curated record. NCBI's taxonomy places the organism in Eukaryota, Viridiplantae, Streptophyta, Magnoliopsida, Sapindales, Anacardiaceae.
CGAUGAAGGUGGCAUGGUAGUGUACACAGAAAUCAAUUUUUUAAUUAAAUGGGUCUUUGCAUGUCUGCCCCUGAUGAUGCCUUUAUUUUUGUCUUUGAGGCUUUGAUUUUGGGGGCCUGGUUAUGACCUACAGAC